ACCCUAGUGGCUUAGAUGGUAAAGAAUCUGCCUGCAAUGCAGGAGACCUGGGUUCAAUCCCUGGGUUGGGAA
Molecule: transfer RNA, 72 nt
Filed under: Ovis aries (sheep)
Lineage: Eukaryota; Metazoa; Chordata; Mammalia; Artiodactyla; Bovidae
Rfam family: tRNA
About the family: Transfer RNA (tRNA) molecules are approximately 80 nucleotides in length.
Source: Rfam by way of RNAcentral